Molecule: transfer RNA, 84 nt
Filed under: Solirubrobacterales bacterium
Lineage: Bacteria; Bacillati; Actinomycetota; Thermoleophilia; Solirubrobacterales
Also listed under: 3 other names
Description: tRNA-Leu
Rfam family: tRNA
About the family: Transfer RNA (tRNA) molecules are approximately 80 nucleotides in length. Their secondary structure includes four short double-helical elements and three loops (D, anti-codon, and T loops).
Source: RNAcentral
GCGGCCGUGGCGGAACUGGUAGACGCGCAGGCUUCAGGUGCCUGUGUCCGAAAGGAUGUGGAGGUUCGACUCCUCUCGGCCGCA